AGGACGAACGCUGGCGGCGUGCUUAACACAUGCAAGUCGAGCGGAAAGGCCCUUCGGGGUACUCGAGCGGCGAACGGGUGAGUAACGCGUGAGCAACCUGCCCUUAGCUUCGGGAUAGCUCCGGGAAACCGGAAUUAAUACCGAAUAUGACUUUGGCUGACAUCAGCAGAAGUGGAAAGUUUUUCGGCUAGGGAUGGACUCGCGGCCUAUCAGCUAGUUGGUGAGGUAACGGCCCACCAAGGCGACGACGGGUA
RNAcentral lists this ribosomal RNA (254 nucleotides) under uncultured bacterium. RNAcentral describes it as "partial small subunit ribosomal RNA". It matches the Rfam family "Bacterial small subunit ribosomal RNA", at positions 26 to 285 of the family's 1533-position model. The record is from RNAcentral.